UGAUUUAUAAUUAAUCGUUGUCAUCUCCACUUCUUGACUUUUAAUCUGAUUUUUCACCCCACUUUUCCCUUAAACAUCCGAUGAACAUUUUUUGAUUUAACGGCCUAAUAGUUGAUACCAUAAAGUAUAACUGGUCUAAUAAUAUUUGGAACUUUUCUUUUAACCAUUUGGAUAUCUUCUUAUCCUUUGAAGAACCGAUACUCCUCCUAGGGUGAAGUGUCAGUGACCGACUUGCAUUGAACACUCGCAAUGAUUGGACACUUGUCUGUCACACCACAUGGCCCGUGUCAUAUUUUUUAAUAUAUUAGUUCUAAAUAUUAUCGUAGAAGGAAAACACUUUGCUAACAUCUUCAAGUGAUCAGCAUAAUUCACACUGUCUGGAACAAUGGUUGUUUUAGUCAGUUAGUAUGUGCAUUUUCUGGCUUUGGUCAAAUCUCACUAGUAUUUGAAGCCUUCUAAGCAAACAGAUUAAUUACUUUUCUGCAACUAAUGGGUAUGAAUACUCAUUAUAAUGCAGGUUGUUUUCACCAUUGAUUGUGAUUUUCUUUUAGUGCUGCAGUUCAUUUAAGUGAAGGAUUACUGUAGAUUUUGGUAGAACUGAUGGGUUUUGUCAUGAUAAUUAGUCUUUUGUUUCAAUUGCAGGUUAAAGCUCUGAUUUCUAAGUUGAGUGAGGAGAAAAAUACUGCAAUUCAGCAAAAUAACAAGCUUAAGCAAGAAGUGGAGCUCUUGAGGCGUCAAGGUAACCGGAGCCAUGGAGGCAUCCCAUUCAUCUAUGUUAUUAUUGUUGGCUUGAUUGGCAUCCUUUUGGGGUAUCUUCUGAAGAGAACAUGAAUAACAUUACAAUCAAGUCAUCGUCCAACUGUGAAAAAAAAUGUUUUUAAGACAUUGAAGUCAAAUAUGUGACGGAUUGAGAAGAGCUUUGUAUUCUAUUUGGUUGUUUCGUUGACAGCAGGGACAAAUGCUGACAUGGGUUUUGACGGGUUCCGUAAUUCACUUUGAUGAGGAGGCUUCAAGAGCAUUGAUUAUGUGACUAAUUGCUUUUAUAUGUUCAUUUCUUUAACUUGUGAACAUUAUUUAUUCAACUAGCCUAAUUUUCCUCUUGAUUUUCUUGUUCCAGUUAUUGGACAAUUAUGUGUUCUGUUC
Olea europaea var. sylvestris is the source of this 1143-nucleotide long non-coding RNA. RefSeq lists it as uncharacterized. Lineage: Eukaryota; Viridiplantae; Streptophyta; Magnoliopsida; Lamiales; Oleaceae. The record is from RefSeq and is a predicted model, not a curated record. The transcript has 2 exons.